GCUUAACACAUGCAAGUCGAGGGGCAGCAUGGUCUUAGCUUGCUAAGGCCGAUGGCGACCGGCGCACGGGUGAGUAACGCGUAUCCAACCUGCCUUACACUCUGGGACAGCCUUCUGAAAGGGAGAUUAAUACAAGAUGUUAUCAUGAGUAAGCAUUUUCGCAUGAUUAAAGGUUUACCGGUGUAAGAUGGGGAUGCGUUCCAUUAGAUAGUAGGCGGGGUAACGGCCCACCUAGUCUUCGAUGGAUAGGGGUUCUGAGAGGAAGGUCCCCCACAUUGGAACUGAGACACGGUCCAAACUCCUACGGGAGGCAGCAGUGAGGAAUACUGGUCAAUGGACGAGAGUCUGAACCAGCCAAGUAGCGUGAAGGAUGAAGGUUCUAUGGAUUGUAAACUUCUUUUAUACGGGAAUAAACGAAUCCACGCGUGGAUUUUUGCAUGUACCGUAUGAAUAAGGAUCGGCUAACUCCGUGCCAGCAGCCGCGGUAAUACGGAGGAUCCGAGCGUUAUCCGGAUUUAUUGGGUUUAAAGGGAGCGUAGAUGGGUUGUUAAGUCAGUUGUGAAAGUUUGCGGCUCAACCGUAAAAUUGCAAUUGAUACUGGCAGUCUUGAGUACAGUUGAGGUAGGCAGAAUUCGUGGUGUAGCGGUGAAAUGCUUAGAUAUCACGAAGAACUCCGAUUGCGAAGGCAGCUUACUAACCUGUAACUGACAUUGAUGCUCGAAAGUGUGGGUAUCAAACAGGAUUAGAUACCCUGGUAGUCCACACGGUAAACGAUGAAUACUCGCUGUAGGCGAUAUACAGUCUGCGGCCAAGCGAAAGCAUUAAGUAUUCCACCUGGGGAGUACGCCGGCAACGGUGAAACUCAAAGGAAUUGACGGGGGCCCGCACAAGCGGAGGAACAUGUGGUUUAAUUCGAUGAUACGCGAGGAACCUUACCCGGGCUUAAAUUGCAACCGAAUAUGGCGGAAACGCUAUAGCUAGCAAUAGCGGUUGUGAAGGUGCUGCAUGGUUGUCGUCAGCUCGUGCCGUGAGGUGUCGGCUUAAGUGCCAUAACGAGCGCAACCCUUGCCGAUAGUUACUAACAGGUCAUGCUGAGGACUCUGUCGGGACUGCCAUCGUAAGAUGUGAGGAAGGUGGGGAUGACGUCAAAUCAGCACGGCCCUUACGUCCGGGGCUACACACGUGUUACAAUGGGGGGUACAGAGGGCUGCUACCACGCAAGUGGAUGCCAAUCCCAAAAACCUCUCUCAGUUCGGAUUGAAGUCUGCAACCCGACUUCAUGAAGCUGGAUUCGCUAGUAAUCGCGCAUCAGCCACGGCGCGGUGAAUACGUUCCCGGGCCUUGUACACACCGCCCGUCAAGCCAUGGGAGCCGGGGGUACCUGAAGUGCGUAACCGCAAGGAGCGCCCUAGGGUAAAACUGGUGACUGGGGU
RNAcentral lists this ribosomal RNA (1433 nucleotides) under uncultured organism. Its description in RNAcentral is "SSU rRNA". It matches the Rfam family "Bacterial small subunit ribosomal RNA". The record is from RNAcentral.